GACGAACGCUGGCGGCGUGCUUAACACAUGCAAGUCGAACGGUGAACUCCGCUUGCGGGGGGAUCAGUGGCGAACGGGUGAGUAACACGUGGGCAACCUGCCCUCAGCUCUGGGAUAACUCCAAGAAAUUGGGGCUAAUACCGGAUAUGACCGCUGACCGCAUGGUCUGGUGGUGGAAAGAUUUAUCGGCUGGGGAUGGGCCCGCGGCCUAUCAGCUUGUUGGUGGGGUAGUGGCCUACCAAGGCGACGACGGGUAGCCGGCCUGAGAGGGUGACCGGCCACACUGGGACUGCGACACGGCCCAGACUCCUACGGGAGGCAGCAGUGGGGAAUAUUGCGCAAUGGGCGAAAGCCUGACGCAGCGACGCCGCGUGGGGGAUGACGGCCUUCGGGUUGUAAACCUCUUUCAGCAGGGACGAAGCGAAAGUGACGGUACCUGCAGAAGAAGCACCGGCCAACUACGUG
RNAcentral lists this ribosomal RNA (465 nucleotides) under uncultured bacterium. Its description in RNAcentral is "partial 16S ribosomal RNA". It matches the Rfam family "Bacterial small subunit ribosomal RNA", at positions 28 to 507 of the family's 1533-position model. The record is from RNAcentral.